ACAUGUCUAUAGCAUAGCGUUAAUGCAUUGGAUUCCAUUAGAACUUUGUAGUUAAGCAUGCUUAGGCUAGAGUAGUAUUGAGAUGGGUGACCUCCCGGGAAGUCCUAUAGUUUUACAUGCC
Non-coding RNA from Picea glauca (white spruce), 121 nucleotides. NCBI's taxonomy places the organism in Eukaryota, Viridiplantae, Streptophyta, Pinopsida, Pinales, Pinaceae. The record is from Rfam.